This 67-nucleotide transfer RNA is filed under the name Etisus anaglyptus. RNAcentral's name for it is "tRNA-Trp". Lineage: Eukaryota; Metazoa; Arthropoda; Malacostraca; Decapoda; Xanthidae. The record is from RNAcentral.
AAGAUUUUAAGUUAUAAAAACUAAGAGCCUUCAAAGCUUUAAAAAAAAGUUAUUCUUUUAAAUCUUA